UGGGGAAUUUUGGACAAUGGGCGAAAGCCUGAUCCAGCAAUGCCGCGUGUGUGAAGAAGGCCUUCGGGUUGUAAAGCACUUUUGUCCGGAAAGAAAUCCUUGGCUCUAAUACAGUCGGGGGAUGACGGUACCGGAAGAAUAAGCACCGGCUAACUACGUGCCAGCAGCCGCGGUAAUACGUAGGGUGCAAGCGUUAAUCGGAAUUACUGGGCGUAAAGCGUGCGCAGGCGGUUUGCUAAGACCGAUGUGAAAUCCCCCGGGGCUAACCUGGGGAACUGCAUUGGUGACUGGCAGGCUAGAGUAUGGCAGAGGGGGGUAAAUUCCACGUGUAGCAGUGAAAUGCGUAGAGAUGUGGAGGAAUACCGAUGGCGAAGGCAGCCCCCUGGGCCAAAUACUGACGCUCAUGCACGAAAAGCGUGGGGGAGCAAACAGGAUUAGGAUAACCCUGGUAGUCCACGCCCUAAAACCGAUGUCCAACUAGUUGUUGGGGAUUCAUUUCCUUAGUAACGUAGCUAACGCGUGAAGUUGACCGCCUGGGGAGUACGGUCG
Molecule: ribosomal RNA, 549 nt
Filed under: uncultured bacterium
Lineage: Bacteria
Description: partial 16S ribosomal RNA
Rfam family: Bacterial small subunit ribosomal RNA
Source: RNAcentral